AGCGAACGCUGGCGGCAGGCCUAACACAUGCAAGUCGAACGAACCUUUCGGGGUUAUUGGCGGACGGGUGAGUAACACGUGGGAACGUUCCUUUAGGUUCGGAAUAACUCAGGGAAACUUGUGCUAAUACCGAAUGUGCCCUUCGGGGGAAAGAUUAAUCGCCUUUAGAGCGGCCCGCGUCUGAUUAGCUAGUUGGUUGAGGUAAUGGCUCACCAAGGCGACGAUCAGUAGCUGGUCUGAGAGGAUGAUCAGCCACAUUGGGUCUGAGACACGGCCCAAACUCCUACGGGAGGCAGCAGUGGGGAAUCUUGCGCAAUGGGCGAAAGCCUGACGCAGCCAUGCCGCGUGAAUGAUGAAGGUCUUAGGAUUGUAAAAUUCUUUCACCGGGGACGAUAAUGACGGUACCCGGAGAAGAAGCCCCGGCUAACUUCGUG
RNAcentral lists this ribosomal RNA (434 nucleotides) under uncultured bacterium. Its description in RNAcentral is "partial 16S ribosomal RNA". It matches the Rfam family "Bacterial small subunit ribosomal RNA", at positions 29 to 507 of the family's 1533-position model. The record is from RNAcentral.